UACGGAGGGAGCUAGCGUUGUUCGGAAUUACUGGGCGUAAAGCGCACGUAGGCGGCUUUGCAAGUUAGAGGUGAAAGCCCGGGGCUCAACUCCGGAAUUGCCUUUAAAACUGCAUCGCUAGAGUUGUGGAGAGGUAAGUGGAAUUCCGAGUGUAGAGGUGAAAUUCGUAGAUAUUCGGAAGAACACCAGUGGCGAAGGCGACUUACUGGACACAUACUGACGCUGAGGUGCGAAAGCGUGGUGAGCAAACAGG
This 253-nucleotide ribosomal RNA is filed under the name uncultured bacterium. RNAcentral describes it as "partial 16S ribosomal RNA". It matches the Rfam family "Bacterial small subunit ribosomal RNA", at positions 524 to 776 of the family's 1533-position model. The record is from RNAcentral.